AACUCGGUAGCCCAACUGGCAGAGGCGGUAGACUUAGGAUCUACUUGUUGUGGGUUCGACUCCCACCCGGGUUA
Molecule: transfer RNA, 74 nt
Filed under: bacterium
Lineage: Bacteria
Also listed under: 1 other name
Description: tRNA-Leu
Rfam family: tRNA
About the family: Transfer RNA (tRNA) molecules are approximately 80 nucleotides in length.
Source: RNAcentral